Long non-coding RNA from Salvelinus fontinalis (brook trout), 1562 nucleotides. RefSeq lists it as uncharacterized. Lineage: Eukaryota; Metazoa; Chordata; Actinopteri; Salmoniformes; Salmonidae. The transcript has 10 exons. The record is from RefSeq and is a predicted model, not a curated record.
AAUCAGAUCAUGAACCCUGACCGCACAUUAGUCCAAAGGUAAACCAUCUAUCAGGGCAUUAGGCUGAAGGUAAACCAUGUUUUAGGGCAUUAGGCUGAAGGUAAACCAUCUAUCAGGGCAUUAGGCUGAAGGUAAACCAUGUUUUAGGGCAUUAGGCUGAAGGUAAACCAUGUUUUAGGGCAUUAGGCUAAAGGUAAACCAUGUUUUAGGGCAUUAGGCUGAAGGUAAACUAUCUAUCAGGGCAUUAGGCUGAAGGUAAACCUUGUUUUAGGGCAUUAGGCUGAAGGUAAACCAUCUAUCAGGGCAUUAGGCUGAAGGUAAACCAUCUAUCAGGGCAUUAGGCUGAAGGUAAACCAUCUAUCAGGGCAUUAGGCUGAAGGUAAACCAUCUAUCAGGGCAUUAGGCUGAAGGUAAACUAUAUAUCAGGGCAUUAGGCUGAAGGUAAACCAUCUAUCAGGGCAUUAGGCUGAAUGUAAACCAUCUAUCAGGGCAUUAGGCUGAAGGUAAACCAUAUAUCAGGGCAUUAGGCUGAAGGUAAACCAUGUUUUAGGGCAUUAGGCUAAAGGUAAACCAUCUAUCAGGGCAUUAGGCUGAAGGUAAACUAUCUAUCAGGGCAUUAGGCUGAAGGUAAACCAUCUAUCAGGGCAUUAGGCUGAAGGUAAACCAUAUAUCAGGGCAUUAGGCUAAAGGUAAACCAUAUAUCAGGGCAUUAGGCUGAAGGUAAACUAUCUAUCGGGGCAUUAGGCUGAAGGUAAACCAUCUAUCAGGGCAUUAGGCUGAAAGUAAACCAUCUAUCAGGGCAUUAGGCUGAAGGUAAACCAUGUUUUAGGGCAUUAGGCUGAAGGUAAACCAUCUAUCAGGGCAUUAGGCUGAAGGUAAACUAUCUAUCAGGGCAUUAGGCUAAAGGUAAACCAUGUUUUAGGGCAUUAGGCUAAAGGUAAACCAUCUAUCAGGGCAUUAGGCUGAAGGUAAACUAUCUAUCAGGGCAUUAGGCUAAAGGUAAACCAUGUUUUAGGGCAUUAGGCUAAAGGUAAACCAUGUUUUAGGGCAUUAGGCUGAAGGUAAACCAUCUAUCAGGGCAUUAGGCUAAAGGUAAACCAUGUUUUAGGGCAUUAGGCUAAAGGUAAACCAUGUUUUAGGGCAUUAGGCUAAAGGUAAACCAUCUAUCAGGGCAUUAGGCUGAAGGUAAACUAUCUAUCAGGGCAUUAGGCUAAAGGUAAACCAUAUAUCAGGGCAUUAGGCUGAAGGUAAACCAUAUAUCAGGGCAUUAGGCUGAAGGUAAACCAUCUAUCAGGGCAUUAGGCUGAAGGUAAACCAUCUAUCAGGCCAUUAGGCUGAAGGUAAACCAUCUAUCAGGGCAUUAGGCUGAAGGUAAACUAUCUAUCAGGGCAUUAGGCUGAAGGUAAACCAUGUUUUAGGGCAUUAGGCUGAAGGUAAACCAUCUAUCAGGGCAUUAGGCUGAAGGUAAACCAUGUUUUAGGGCAUUAGGCUGAAGGUAAACCAUCUAUCAGGGCAUUAGGCUGAAGGUAAACCAUCUAUCAGGGCAUUAGGCUGAAGGUAAA